GAGUUUGAUCCUGGCUCAGGAUGAACGCUGGCGGCGUGCUUAACACGUGCAAGUCGAGCGAAGCACUUUUUUAGAACUCUUCGGAGGGAAGAGAGGGUGACUUAGCGGCGGACGGGUGAGUAACGCGUGGGCAACCUGCCUUACACAGGGGGAUAACAAUUAGAAAUGAUUGCUAAUACCGCAUAAGACCCCGGUAUCGCAUGGUACAGGGGUAAAAACUGAGGUGGUGUAAGAUGGGCCCGCGUCUGAUUAGGUAGUUGGUGGGGUAGAAGCCUACCAAGCCGACGAUCAGUAGCCGACCUGAGAGGGCGACCGGCCACAUUGGGACUGAGACACGGCCCAAACUCCUACGGGAGGCAGCAGUGGGGAAUAUUGCACAAUGGGGGAAACCCUGAUGCAGCGACGCCGCGUGAGUGAGGAAGUAUUUCGGUAUGUAAAGCUCUAUCAGCAGGGAAGAAAAUGACGGUACCUGACUAAGAAGCCCCGGCUAACUACGUGCCAGCAGCCGCGGUAAUACGUAGGGGGCAAGCGUUAUCCGGAUUUACUGGGUGUAAAGGGAGCGUAGACGGAAUUGCAAGUCUGAUGUGAAAAUCCGGGGCCCAACCCCGGAACUGCAUUGGAAACUGUAUUUCUAGAGUGUCGGAGAGGCAAGUGGAAUUCCUGGUGUAGCGGUGAAAUGCGUAG
This 684-nucleotide ribosomal RNA is filed under the name uncultured bacterium. RNAcentral describes it as "bacterial SSU rRNA". It matches the Rfam family "Bacterial small subunit ribosomal RNA", at positions 9 to 693 of the family's 1533-position model. The record is from RNAcentral.